GAUGAACGCUGGCGGCGUGCCUAAUACAUGCAAGUCGAGCGAACAGACGAGGAGCUUGCUCCUCUGACGUUAGCGGCGGACGGGUGAGUAACACGUGGAUAACCUACCUAUAAGACUGGGAUAACUUCGGGAAACCGGAGCUAAUACCGGAUAAUAUAUUGAACCGCAUGGUUCAAUAGUGAAAGACGGUUUUGCUGUCACUUAUAGAUGGAUCCGCGCCGCAUUAGCUAGUUGGUAAGGUAACGGCUUACCAAGGCAACGAUGCGUAGCCGACCUGAGAGGGUGAUCGGCCACACUGGAACUGAGACACGGUCCAGACUCCUACGGGAGGCAGCAGUAGGGAAUCUUCCGCGAUGGGCGAAAGCUUGACGGAGCAACGCCGCGUGAGUGAUGAAGGUCUUCGGAUCGUAAAACGCUGUUAUUAGGGAAGAACAAAUGUGUAAGUAACUAUGCACGUCUUGACGGUACCUAAUCAGAAAGCCACGGCUAACUACGUG
RNAcentral lists this ribosomal RNA (497 nucleotides) under uncultured bacterium. RNAcentral's name for it is "partial 16S ribosomal RNA". It matches the Rfam family "Bacterial small subunit ribosomal RNA", at positions 28 to 507 of the family's 1533-position model. The record is from RNAcentral.